CCUACGGGGGGCAGCAGUGGGGAAUAUUGGACAAUGGGCGAAAGCCUGAUCCAGCAAUGCCGCGUGUGUGAAGAAGGCCUUCGGGUUGUAAAGCACUUUAAGUUGGGAAGAAAAAGCUUCAGCUGACAUCUGAAGCCUUGACGGUACCAACAGAAUAAGCACCGGCUAACUCUGUGCCAGCAGCCGCGGUAAU
RNAcentral lists this ribosomal RNA (193 nucleotides) under uncultured bacterium. Its description in RNAcentral is "partial 16S ribosomal RNA". It matches the Rfam family "Bacterial small subunit ribosomal RNA", at positions 338 to 524 of the family's 1533-position model. The record is from RNAcentral.